Molecule: non-coding RNA, 205 nt
Organism: Oryza barthii
Lineage: Eukaryota; Viridiplantae; Streptophyta; Magnoliopsida; Poales; Poaceae
Source: Rfam
AAUGUUUGACGCCAUUGACUUUUUUAAAUAGGUUUGACCGUUCGUCUUAUUCAAAAAAUUUAAGUAAUUAUUAAAUUUUUUCCUAUCAUUUGAUUAAUUGUUAAAUAUACUUUUAUGUAUAUAUAUAAUUUUACAUAUUCUACAAAAGUUUUUGAAUAAGACGAACGGUCAAACAUGUUUAAAAAAGUCAACGGCGUCAAACAUU